CACAGCUUUAGGCUCAAAGUCCUCUGGAGAGGCUGAGAACAGCAGCUGACACUGAAAACAUUACUAAUCAGCAGCACUCAUGAGCUUUAGGCUCAAAGUCCUCUGGAGAGGCUGAGAACAGCAGCUGACACUGAAAACAUUACUAAUCAGCAGCACUCAUGAGCUUUAGGCUCAAAGUCCUCUGGAGAGGCUGAGAACAGCUGCUGGCACUGAAAACAUUACUAAUCAGCAGCACUCAUGAGAUGGCUAUGGCUUGCUGAUAGCAUCUGAUCUGAUGAGACUCCCUGGGGUCUAUUUUAAAACCUCUACGGGAUCGGUGUCCCCCCCCACCGGACAGUUGAGCUAACGUGUGCUAAUGUGAUUAGCAUAACCUUUUAAGUAACAAAAACCUUUCCCAGGACAUAGACAUAUUUGAUAUGGGCAGAAAGGUUAAAUUCUUGUUAAUCUACAGUGGGGGGAAAAGUAUUUGAUCCCCUGCUUAUUUUGUACGUUUGCCCACUUACAAAGAAAUGAUCAGUCUAUAAUUUUAAUGGUAGGUUUAUUUGAACAGUGAGACACAGAAUAACAACAAAAAAAUCCAGAAAAACGCAUGUCAAAAAUGUUAUAAAAUUAUUUGAAUUUUAAUCAAAUCAAAUCAAAUUGAUUUAUAUAGCCCUUCUUACAUCAGCUGAUAUCACAAAGUGCUGUACAGAAACCCAGCCUAAAACCCCAAACAGCAAGCAAUGCAGGUGUAGAAGCACGGUGGCUAGGAAAAACUCCCUAGAAAGGCCAAAACCUAGGAAGAAACCUAGAGAGGAACCAGGCUAUGAGGGGUGGCCAGUCCUCUUCUGGCUGUGCCGGGUUGAGAUUAUAACAACACCUGGGCUAGAUGUUCAAAUGUUCAUAAAUGACCAGCAUUGUCAAAUAAUAAUAAUCAUAGUAGUUGUCGAGGGUGCAACAAGUCAGUAACACAAGAGUAAGUGUCAGUUGGCUUUUUCAUAGCCGAUCUUUGAGAGUAUCUCUACCGCUCCUGCUGUCUCUAGAGAGUUGAAAACAGCAGGUCUGGGACAGGUAGCACGUCCGGUGAAUAGGUCAGGGUUCCAGCAGGUCUGGGACAACAGGUCUGGGACAGGUAGCACGUCCGGUGAACAGGUCAGGGUUCCAUAGCUGCAGGCAGAACAGUUGGAACUGGAGCAGAAGCACGGCCAGGUGAACUGGAGAUAGCAAGGAGUCAUCAAGCCAGGUAGUCCUGAGGCAUGGUCCUAGGGCUCAGGUCCUCCGAGAGAGAGAAAGAAAGACAGAAAAAGAGAGAAUUAGAGAGAGCAUAUUUAAAUUCACACAGGACACCGGAAAAGACAAGAUAAAUACUCCAGAUGUGACAGACUGACCCUAGCCCCCCGACACAUAAACUACUGCAGCAUAAAUACUGGGGCUGAGACAGGAGGGGUCAGGAGACACUGUGGCCCCAUCCGAUGAAACCCCCGGACAGGGCCAAACAGGUAGGAUAUAACCCAACUUUGCCAAAGCACAGCCUCCACACCACUGGAGGGAUAUCUCCAACCACCAACAUACCAUCCCGGGACAAGGCCGAGUAUAACCCACAAAGAUCUCCGCCACGGCACAGCCCAAGGGGGGGCGCCAACCCAGACAGGAAGACCACGUCAGUGUCUCAACCCACUCAAGUGACGCACCCCUCCCAGGGACGGCAUGGAAGAACACCAGUAAGCCAGUGCCUCAGCCCCCGUAAUAGGGGUAGAGGCAGAGAAUCCCAGUGGAAAGAGGGGAAACCGGCCAGGCAGAGACAGCAAGGGCGGUUCGUUGCUCCAGUCUUUCCGUUCACCUUCACACCCCUGGGCCAGA
Molecule: long non-coding RNA, 1839 nt
Filed under: Salmo salar (Atlantic salmon)
Lineage: Eukaryota; Metazoa; Chordata; Actinopteri; Salmoniformes; Salmonidae
Description: lncRNA (ENSSSAG00000106704.1)
Source: RNAcentral